Molecule: non-coding RNA, 26 nt
Filed under: Mus musculus (house mouse)
Lineage: Eukaryota; Metazoa; Chordata; Mammalia; Rodentia; Muridae
Source: RNAcentral
UUCUAUCCCUCGGUGAGGUGCUAGGA